GGUAUCAUUGGCCUGAAUGGAGGGUUCGUUUUCCUGGUGAGACAGGAAAAGCUCUCCAUUUGUGGUGGGAAUCACUGUGGUAGUUGCUGGGGAGACCUGGCUGUGGCCUAGGACAGGAUAGGGGUGUCCCUGCUGCUGACCUCACUGUGUUUUCCAAGACUCAAAUGCAGGACUUGUGGAUUUUAGACCCAGAAGGCAAUCUCAGUCAGUUCAGUCUGGUACCUUCUCUGUUGAGAUAAACUGUAGCCUGGAAAGGUUAACUUUCCUUUUCUGAUCAUUCUGAUGUGGUUUCUUCCUUGUUUUAGUUCUUAGGGCAAUUUUUGCCUGCUCAGUGAAUUCACUUUCCAGUUAAUCAAGUGCACACUUUCGACACCUUUUGUGGUAAUCUUGCCUUGCACUUUGAAACUGUAAAGGUUAACUUUUAAUGCACUUCUAGACCCCUUAAUUCCGUUAAACUGACUUUGGGAAGGGGGCAGUGGCGUUUGCACCUUUGGAUCCCUUGUUCCCCACAGAUGUACCCACAGAAGUAUGUUGUAGGUUUCAGAUCCCCAGGAAGCUCUCUGUUGAUCUGAUUUAAUUGAAAUACAAGCUUAGCUUAGCUGAAUCAGUCUUAGCAUCCAAAACUAGCUUACAGGUUGUUGUUCUUCCUACCACAGCUCGUUAUGCCAUUGAUAAGUGUGAGUUCUCUAAGGUGGUGGUUACUAGAGCUGUAGAUCAAGGCUGAUCUGAUGAAAACAGACUCUUAAUGGUGUUUCAUCUAAUAUUUGCAUUUUUUUGGGCUUAGGAUGCCUCGAGAAACAUCAGUUUAGUUCUUUAUGCUUGUAUUUGCUAAAAUAACCUUCUUUUGGUGAAUUGAAAAUUCUAAGAGAGCCAAAAUCACAUCGGAACAGGG
This is a long non-coding RNA of Myotis davidii, 892 nucleotides long. RefSeq lists it as uncharacterized. The record is from RefSeq and is a predicted model, not a curated record. The transcript has 2 exons. Lineage: Eukaryota; Metazoa; Chordata; Mammalia; Chiroptera; Vespertilionidae.